Molecule: long non-coding RNA, 544 nt
Organism: Zea mays
Lineage: Eukaryota; Viridiplantae; Streptophyta; Magnoliopsida; Poales; Poaceae
Exons: 3
Source: RefSeq, a predicted model, not a curated record
AGGGCGACCAGCAGGCAGUCGAAUCAUUUCCAUGCUGCUUCACUCCUUCCGGUUUCGGACGUCGCUUUUACGCAGUCCUCGCCAACCUUGACAGUCUCGGCCACUCUUUCACUGCUCGCUUCACUCGUCUCGGCUGCUCUUCGUCUUCUUCGCCGCCGUUGCCUUCCUCAAGCAAUGCGGUGUUGUGGAUACCACACCCUAGAAGAGUUGGUGGCAGAUUCUUCACCAAGUAUGGAAUGCGUGCGAUGCCGAGCUGGGUGCUUGGUGACAACAGGCACAUGACGACCUUUAUCGAUGGUUUGACGAUGAUGACGCGCUGGAAGAAGCAAUGGGUGGAGAGUACGUUCUUUAUUUCUUAUUUAUGUACAAAUUAAGAUCUCACAUAACACCACCCGCAGGGCGUGCAGCAAUACACUAGUUGUUGUAUAAUUUGUAUCCAAUUUGCGUGCGGCAAUAGACUAGUUGUAUAAUUUGUAUCCAGUUUGUCCAUUCCUAGGUUCGAGGAAAAAACACCAUUACAGCGAAUUAUUCCUCGUUUUUACAA